RNAcentral lists this ribosomal RNA (118 nucleotides) under Danio rerio (zebrafish). Lineage: Eukaryota; Metazoa; Chordata; Actinopteri; Cypriniformes; Danionidae. The record is from RNAcentral.
AGCCACAGCCAUAUCACCAUGCAACCCAAGACCGGUUACUCACUGAAGCUAAGAAGGGCUGAGCCUGGUCAGUACCUAAAUUAGGAGAUCACAUGGGAAAACUAGGUUUCUGUUGGAA